Molecule: ribosomal RNA, 437 nt
Filed under: uncultured prokaryote
Description: bacterial SSU rRNA
Rfam family: Bacterial small subunit ribosomal RNA
Source: RNAcentral
UCACGAAUCAUUGGCAAUGCGCGAAAGCGUGACCAUGCAAUGCCGCGUGGGCGAAGAAGGCCUUCGGGUUGUAAAGCCCUGUCAGGGGUGAGGAAACGUAUUUCUAUACUUGACGUUAGCCCCAGAGGAAGUCACGGCUAACUCCGUGCCAGCAGCCGCGGUAAUACGGAGGUGGCAAACGUUGCUCGGAAUCACUGGGCUUAAAGGGCGUGUAGGCGGUGAACUAAGUCGGAUGUGAAAGCUCCCGGCCCAACCGGGAAACUGCAUUCGAAACUGGUUCGCUAGAGUGCGGGAGGGGCAAGUGGAACUCCAGGUGUAGCGGUGAAAUGCGUAGAUAUCUGGAGGAACGCCGGUGGCGAAAGCGACUUGCUGGACCGCAACUGACGCUGAGGCGCGAAAGCUAGGGGAGCGAACGGGAUUAGAUACCCCCGUAGUCC